AUUGAACGCUGGCGGCAGGCUUAACACAUGCAAGUCGAGCGGAGAUGAGGUGCUUGCACCUUAUCUUAGCGGCGGACGGGUGAGUAAUGCUUAGGAAUCUGCCUAUUAGUGGGGGACAACAUUCCGAAAGGAAUGCUAAUACCGCAUACGUCCUACGGGAGAAAGCAGGGGAUCUUCGGACCUUGCGCUAAUAGAUGAGCCUAAGUCGGAUUAGCUAGUUGGUGGGGUAAAGGCCUACAAAGGCGACGAUCUGUAGCGGGUCCGAGAGGAUGAUCCGCCACACUGGGACUGAGACACGGCCCAGACUCCUACGGGAGGCAGCAGUGGGGAAUAUUGGACAAUGGGGGGAACCCUGAUCCAGCCAUGCCGCGUGUGUGAGGAAGGCCUUAUGGUUGUAAAGCACUUUAAGCGAGGAGGAGGCUACUGAGACUAAUACUCUUGGAUAGUGGACGUUACUCGCAGAAUAAGCACCGGCUAACUCUGUGCCAGCCGCCGCCGUAA
RNAcentral lists this ribosomal RNA (501 nucleotides) under uncultured bacterium. RNAcentral's name for it is "partial 16S ribosomal RNA". It matches the Rfam family "Bacterial small subunit ribosomal RNA", at positions 30 to 523 of the family's 1533-position model. The record is from RNAcentral.